This 253-nucleotide ribosomal RNA is filed under the name uncultured bacterium. RNAcentral's name for it is "partial 16S ribosomal RNA". It matches the Rfam family "Bacterial small subunit ribosomal RNA", at positions 524 to 776 of the family's 1533-position model. The record is from RNAcentral.
UACGGAGGGUGCAAGCGUUAUCCGGAUUCACUGGGUUUAAAGGGUGCGUAGGUGGCUUUGUAAGUCAGUGGUGAAAUGCCGCAGCUCAACUGCGGAACUGCCAUUGAUACUGCUUAGCUUGAAUCAGGUCGAGGUGGAUGGAAUAAUACAUGUAGCGGUGAAAUGCUUAGAUAUGUAUUAGAACACCGAUUGCGAAGGCAGUUCACUAGGCCUGAAUUGACACUGAGGCACGAAAGCGUGGGGAUCAAACAGG